This 413-nucleotide unclassified non-coding RNA is filed under the name Hevea brasiliensis (rubber tree). Lineage: Eukaryota; Viridiplantae; Streptophyta; Magnoliopsida; Malpighiales; Euphorbiaceae. The record is from RNAcentral.
AGUAUACCAAGAUAACCAUACACAUUGCUCUGAAUUGUCAUUUUAAUAUUUUCACGCUCCUCCUCAGUGAAAGGGACAGGUUUGUAAAGAAUCUUGGCCUGCUUAAAAAUAGUACUUGUCCCAGAUCCGCCGUAUCCAACUAAAAGAAUCUUCUGAAGCGUUCUCUGCUCAAUGUAGUCUGGGACACUUCUGCUCAUCAUACUGUUAACUUGUUCUCCACAAGAAUUUGAAGAUUUAGCGGGAACAGGGAGUGAUAAGAAAGCACAUACAAGCUUCAUUCCCGCCUUGCCCCAAAUGUAACCUUUAGUGUUCUUCUGCCCCUCUUCUUGGUAUGAUCCAUCCUCAUUCACCCAAAAAUGUGGGUUGCCAGCACACUGAACUCCAGCCAGCUGCAACAUCCUAAGCUCUACUUU